This 497-nucleotide ribosomal RNA is filed under the name uncultured bacterium. Its description in RNAcentral is "partial 16S ribosomal RNA". It matches the Rfam family "Bacterial small subunit ribosomal RNA", at positions 28 to 507 of the family's 1533-position model. The record is from RNAcentral.
GAUGAACGCUGGCGGCGUGCCUAAUACAUGCAAGUCGAGCGAACAGACGAGGAGCUUGCUCCUCUGACGUUAGCGGCGGACGGGUGAGUAACACGUGGAUAACCUACCUAUAAGACUGGGAUAACUUCGGGAAACCGGAGCUAAUACCGGAUAAUAUAUUGAACCGCAUGGUUCAAUAGUGAAAGACGGUUUUGCUGUCACUUAUAGAUGGAUCCGCGCCGCAUUAGCUAGUUGGUAAGGUAACGGCUUACCAAGGCAACGAUGCGUAGCCGACCUGAGAGGGUGAUCGGCCACACUGGAACUGAGACACGGUCCAGACUCCUACGGGAGGCAGCAGUAGGGAAUCUUCCGCAAUGGGCGAAAGCCUGACGGAGCGACGCCGCGUGAGUGAUGAAGGUCUUCGGAUCGUAAAACUCUGUUAUUAGGGAAGAACAAAUGUGUAAGUAACUAUGCACGUCUUAACGGUACCUAAUCAGAAAGCCACGGCUAACUACGUG